GAUGUUGAUCCUGGCUCAGGAUGAACGCUAGCGGCAGGCUUAACACAUGCAAGUCGAACGGUAACAGGAGAGCUUGCUCUCGCUGACGAGUGGCGCACGGGUGCGUAACGCGUAUGCAACUUACCUCUAUCUAAGGGAUAGCUCAGAGAAAUUUGAAUUAAUACCUUAUAAUAUCUAUUUUUCGCAUGUUAGAUAGAUUAAAGUUUUUCGGAUAGAGAUGGGCAUGCGUGAUAUUAGCUAGUUGGUAGGGUAAUGGCUUACCAAGGCUUCGAUAUCUAGGGGGUCUGAGAGGAUGAUCCCCCACACUGGUACUGAGACACGGACCAGACUCCUACGGGAGGCAGCAGUGAGGAAUAUUGGACAAUGGGCGAAAGCCUGAUCCAGCCAUGCCGCGUGUAGGAUGAAUGCCCUAUGGGUUGUAAACUACUUUUGUAUAGGAAGAAACCUCUUUAUUCAUAAAGAGCUGACGGUACUAUAAGAAUAAGCAUCGGCUAACUCCGUGCCAGCAGCCGCGGUAAUACGGAGGAUGCGAGCGUUAUCCGGAUUUAUUGGGUUUAAAGGGUUCGUAGGCGGGAGAAUUAGUCAGUGGUGAAAGCCUGCAGCUUAACUGUAGAACUGCCAUUGAUACUGUUCUUCUUGAAUAUAUAUGAAGUGGGCGGAAUGCGUCAUGUAGCGGUGAAAUGCACAGAUAUGACGCAGAACACCGAUAGCGAAGGCAGCUCACUAAUAUAUUAUUGACGCUCAGGAACGAAAGCAUGGGGAGCGAACAGGAUUAGAUACCCUGGUAGUCCAUGCCGUAAACGAUGAUUACUCGAUGUUGGUUUACCAGUGUCUAAGCGAAAGUUAUAAGUAAUCCAC
This 858-nucleotide ribosomal RNA is filed under the name uncultured bacterium. RNAcentral's name for it is "bacterial SSU rRNA". It matches the Rfam family "Bacterial small subunit ribosomal RNA", at positions 9 to 872 of the family's 1533-position model. The record is from RNAcentral.